GGUUUCCCUUUGCGGAUCGCCCGCCGUCGUUCUGGCAUAUUCUCUUCAAUCGUUUGCAUCCGCCGUAGAAGCUCAUCAUAAUCUUGGGGAUAUUGGGGGUAUUGAAGAAGUUCCUUGCGUAUUUCAGGCAGUACCUUGCUUCGCAAGUUAUCCAUUCUUUGUUCCUCAGUAUGCGCAGGCAUCCUGAAACCGUUGGCUUGCCAUUCGACGUCGGUUCUCCGGGUCAUUUAUCUGCAUU
RNAcentral lists this small RNA (238 nucleotides) under Histoplasma capsulatum var. duboisii H88. Its description in RNAcentral is "Histoplasma capsulatum H88 hypothetical RNA". Lineage: Eukaryota; Fungi; Ascomycota; Eurotiomycetes; Onygenales; Ajellomycetaceae. The record is from RNAcentral.